AUGCCAGCCCUAGCCACGGAAUCGGGGGGGCUGGGAGAGACACUGCAGCCUUGCGCCGGAGGCCCCUGGGGAACCCGGGCUGUGGAAUGGGACAAACCCAUGUUUGGGUUCGUGGCCGGCUGUCUGUGCGGCAGGAAUGCGCAGGUUCCCAGAUUCCAGCACCUUCGGCGGCCGCUAAUUGGAAACAGAGCAUCUCGCCGGUGUGACCCACACGGCAAGGGGGUGCCCGGACCCCGUCAGGACGUCCCACCUGCCCCCACCCUCUGCUGGGGGCUCGGCCAGCCCCCAUGGGAUGCCCACCCAAGGGCGGUGUGGGGCUGGCACGCCGCUGGCGCAGGGCAUCACAGGCUGUGGGGACGGGCGCCUGAAAGCGUCCGAACCCCCCGAGCAGGGGCCCUCCGUGCCCUCGCUGAGGAUCCUGACACUGCCUCCUCCCUCCCCCCGGAAAACCAGGGCCCCCGCUCCAGCCAGUCUGGCUGGGAACCCGGGAUUGAGCAACGGAGGAGGCGGCGGCAGCGGGUGCUGGAGGAAUGUCACGCUUGGGCGCUGGCCCCGACACACAUCUCCUCUGCAUGGGGCCCAGCGCCCCGGCUGGACCCGGGGAGAGGCGGCGAUGGAAGCGAGGAAGGGCCGCACACCGGGAAGGGGUCUCUGCUGCUGGAAGGCACCCAGCCACACAGGAACCCAGCCGUGGGGGCAGCAGGGCUGGCAGCAUCACCCACAGGGGCAGUGAGGAAUCCCCCAGGUGGGAGAAGAGACUCAGCACAGCCACCUUGGGCACAGGGAAUCCACAGCAAUGUGGGGAGCUGCUCCUGGGCACGGGGGAGGGGGAAAUCGCAGCACUGUGGGCUGUGUGUGAGCAGCAGCCUGCUUCAGGGUUUGAAAUGGUUCCCUCUGAAUGCUGCAAUACUUCAAAUAAACACUCUUAGCUUCUCCACUUUGCUAGUCCUGCAUCAAGAAAUGUCCCCAGAUUUCUCAUCCAGGGCAGGCAGCUCAGCACCUCCCCAACACGCAGAGCCUGAGGGUUCCCCCUAA
Molecule: long non-coding RNA, 1035 nt
Filed under: Zonotrichia albicollis (white-throated sparrow)
Lineage: Eukaryota; Metazoa; Chordata; Aves; Passeriformes; Passerellidae
Description: lncRNA (ENSZALG00000009384.1)
Source: RNAcentral